Molecule: ribosomal RNA, 88 nt
Filed under: Helicobacter pylori UM067
Lineage: Bacteria; Pseudomonadati; Campylobacterota; Epsilonproteobacteria; Campylobacterales; Helicobacteraceae
Source: RNAcentral
GCGGAUUUUUUUAGAGAAGAGGAACCACCCAGUUAACCAUUCCGAACCUGGAAGUCAAGCUCUUCAUCGCUGAUAAUACUGCUCUUUU